UAAUACGAGGGGUGCUAGCGUUGUCCGGAAUCACUGGGCGUAAAGGGUCCGUAGGCGUUUUGCUAAGUUGAUUGUUAAAUCCAUCGGCUCAACCGAUGACCUGCAAUCAAAACUGGUAGAAUAGAGUUCGAGAGAGGAAAGUAGAAUUCCUGGUGUAGCGGUGACAUGCGUAGAUAUCAGGAGGAACACCAAUGGCGAAGGCAGCUUUCUGGCUCGAUAUUGACGCUGAGGGACGAAAGCGUGGGGAGCGAACAGGAUUAGAUACCCUGGUAGUCCACGCCGUAAACGAUGAGUACUUGAUGUCGGGGGAUUCGACCCCUUCGGUGUCGUAGCUAACGCGAUAAGUACUCCGCCUGGGGACUACGACCGCAAGGUUG
RNAcentral lists this ribosomal RNA (377 nucleotides) under uncultured bacterium. RNAcentral describes it as "bacterial SSU rRNA". It matches the Rfam family "Bacterial small subunit ribosomal RNA", at positions 521 to 896 of the family's 1533-position model. The record is from RNAcentral.